GGCAUAGAGUAUCAAGCGUAUGAGUAUAAACCGAGUAUGACGCAAUGAUUAUAUGACUAUCAACCGAGUAUGAAAAUGGUAUAUGUGUAUCAACCGAGUAUGAACCAAACCAAUGAAAAUUCAUUUGAUCAUUGGAGACAAGUAAAGAGAAAAGCGAGUCAUAUCUAACUCAUCCUAACUAACCGUGUCAUAUAUUGGAAAUCUUGACCUGUGAAAUAGUUAAGGAUAGCCGUUAUAGAAACACAAAUCUAAACAACAACAACUUAAUCUAAAACAUAACAGAAACAUAACCUUAAACACAAACACACUACUUAAUCCAACAUUUCGGUUAUGAGCUUCUUCUUUAGAGCUUCCUCAUAGUCUUCAAGUGGCUCUUUUUUGGCUAAAAGACUUUCUAGUAUAGCCAUCUUUGACAGCUGUUUCUUCAUUGUCAAGUCCUUCUCUUUGAUUUGCCACAUGGUCUCAAACUCAACCAAAGGAAACUUCGUCUCUACGCUACUCUUCUUGGCUUUGACUUUUGAUGCCUUCACUCCUAGAGGUCUUUUGCUUCCAUUUUCUUCCUCACAAGUCUUCGCUUCAUCAGCCAUGGAGCUUGUCGAUUGUGAACCAUCUUCUUCGUUUUGAGUUUCCUUCUGUUUUACUUGUUGAAAUAUCACACCACUUCUGAUCAUUCUUGAGCUCUUUCCAAGCAUGUUCUAGAUUGAACUUCUUCUUGUACGAGUUGUAGAAUAUUUCAUGUGCCAGCUUUAAAAUGUCAUUCUCAUUCAUUCCACUCGUUCUCUCUCUACUUGCAGCUUCGUAUGCUCCACAAAAUUUGCAGACUAGGUCGUUUAUUUUAUGACAUCUCUGCUUGCACUGUAUCGUCACAAUGUUCUCACGACCAGAAGCCUUUGGAGAAGCAGAAAAAUAUGCAGCUAUGCGCUUCCAAAAGGUACCUGAUUUCUGCUCAUUUCCCACCACUGGGUCCUUUGAAGUGUUUAACCAUGAGCUGAUGAGCAACACAUCAUCACUCGGGCUCCAUUGUCUUUUUUUUUCUUUUCCUUUUCUGGUGAUGCUUCACCGAAGCUUGCAGCAUAAGCAGGACUGUCUUCAACAAAACUUGAGGCAUAACCGCAGAAGACAGAGUCUUGUUGACUGUUUAACAGAUCAACAAAGGUGGAAGUCGUGAAAGUUGGAUUCAUAGAUGAGAAAGCCAUAUGGGAGAAUGAAAAGAUAAAGAGAAGAAGGAUCAAGGCACAAGAGAAGAUGUUUAAGUAGAUGUUAAUGAGAAGAAGCAAAGAGAAGAUGAACAAAGAGAUAAAGAAGGAGAGGAAGUACGAGAAAAAGAAGAACAAAGAGAUGCAGAAGGAUGGAAGUACGAGAAGAAGAAUCAAAGAGAAGAUGUUUAAGUAGAUGUUAAAGAGAAGAAGUUAAAGAGAAGAGGAAGCAAAGAGAAGAUGAACAAAGAGAUGAAGAAGGAGAGGAAGUACGAGAAGAAGAAGCAAAGAGAAUAAACAAAAAGAAGAUGUUAAAGAGAAGAUGUUACAAGGAGAAGAAGCACCGCAUUUAAAACAAGAAAACAAACCAACAUUGAAGUAGAAAAUCAAAUGAACAUUGAAGAAGAAAAAGCAAAAAAGUUUUCCAGCAUUCAACCAUAUUGACUAGAUAUAUAUCUAACACUAUUAGAGCAUUCAUCAACAAGUCCAUUUAUUACCUAAACCUAAACCAUUAUCUACACUAACUAGGCAUUUAUUAUCAUCUCACUGAUUUGAAGAC
Molecule: long non-coding RNA, 1755 nt
Filed under: Eutrema salsugineum
Lineage: Eukaryota; Viridiplantae; Streptophyta; Magnoliopsida; Brassicales; Brassicaceae
Description: long non-coding RNA (ESAL_LNC001911)
Source: RNAcentral